RNAcentral lists this ribosomal RNA (231 nucleotides) under uncultured bacterium. RNAcentral's name for it is "partial 16S ribosomal RNA". It matches the Rfam family "Bacterial small subunit ribosomal RNA", at positions 99 to 334 of the family's 1533-position model. The record is from RNAcentral.
CGGACGGGUGAGUAAUGUCUGGGAAACUGCCUGAUGGAGGGGGAUAACUGCUGGAAACGGUAGCUAAUACCGCAUAACGUCGCAAGACCAAAGGGGGGACCUUCGGGCCUCUUGCCAUCGGAUGUGCCCAGAUGGGAUUAGCUAGUAGGUGGGGUAACGGCUCACCUAGGCGACGAUCCCUAGCUGGUCUGAGAGGGUGGCCAGCCACACUGGAACUGAGACACGGUCCAG